CCAGCCUGCCGCGUGUGUGAAGAAGGCCUUUUGGUUGUAAAGCACUUUAAGCAGUGAAGAAGACUCCGUGGUUAAUACCCACGGACGAUGACAUUAGCUGCAGAAUAAGCACCGGCUAACUCUGUGCCAGCAGCCGCGGUAAUACAGAGGGUGCAAGCGUUAAUCGGAAUUACUGGGCGUAAAGCGAGCGUAGGUGGCUUGAUAAGUCAGAUGUGAAAUCCCCGGGCUUAACCUGGGAACUGCAUCUGAUACUGUUAGGCUAGAGUAGGUGAGAGGAAGGUAGAAUUCCAGGUGUAGCGGUGAAAUGCGUAGAGAUCUGGAGGAAUACCGAUGGCGAAGGCAGCCUUCUGGCAUCAUACUGACACUGAGGCUCGAAAGCGUGGGUAGCAAACAGGAUUAGAUACCCUGGUAGUCCACGCCGUAAACGAUGUCUACUAGUCGUUGGGUCCCUUGAGGACUUAGUGACGCAGCUAACGCAAUAAGUAGACCGCCUGGGGAGUACGGCCGCAAGGUUAAAACUCAAAUGAAUUGACGGGGGCCCGCACAAGCGGUGGAGCAUGUGGUUUAAUUCGAUGCAACGCGAAGAACCUUACCUGGUCUUGACAUAUCUAGAAUCCUGCAGAGAUGCCGGGAGUGCCUUCGGGAAUUAGAAUACAGGUGCUGCAUGGCUGUCCGUCAGCUCGUGUCGUGAGAUGUUUGGGUUAAGUCCCGCAACGAGCGCAACCCUUUUUCUUAGUACCAGCGGGUUAUGCCGGGAACUCUAAGGUUCUGCCAGUGACAAACUGGAGGAAGCGGGGACACGUCAAGUCAUUAUGGCCCUUACGAACCAGGGSUACACACGUGCUACAAUGGUAGGUACAGAGGCCGCUUCCCA
This 874-nucleotide ribosomal RNA is filed under the name Psychrobacter sp. 3-3. RNAcentral describes it as "bacterial SSU rRNA". It matches the Rfam family "Bacterial small subunit ribosomal RNA", at positions 388 to 1256 of the family's 1533-position model. Lineage: Bacteria; Pseudomonadati; Pseudomonadota; Gammaproteobacteria; Moraxellales; Moraxellaceae. The record is from RNAcentral.